RNAcentral lists this long non-coding RNA (390 nucleotides) under Carica papaya (papaya). RNAcentral's name for it is "long non-coding RNA (CPAP_LNC005544)". Lineage: Eukaryota; Viridiplantae; Streptophyta; Magnoliopsida; Brassicales; Caricaceae. The record is from RNAcentral.
UGUAUUCCCAAAAUAGGUGCAAUUGGACGAUCUCUGUUGUACCAUGUGGACCCACACAGAUGGCCCCGAUUGAAGAAUGAGAAGUAUUUAAACCUCUAUCAUCCAACUCCCUAAACCCUUAGCCAACACUUUGACCGGAUAAGAAGAAGAGGAGCGGUCAGAGGGGAGUUUAGCCACCGGAGAGACGCCAGCUCCACCGUGCCAGAACCCUAAAAUGCACUAGUAAGCCAGAAAUUCCUUCCCGUUCUUUUUGUUUCUUCGCCCUUAGCCGUCUAACAUGUUCCUGAUGCAUCGUGACCAAGAAAAAUUGCAAACCGCGAGAGAGGAAUGGCAGAUCUCGAGUGAGCCACUGCAUCAGAGGACUAAAACUGCCAGUAAGAAUCUAUUUUU